Molecule: ribosomal RNA, 586 nt
Filed under: uncultured bacterium
Lineage: Bacteria
Description: partial 16S ribosomal RNA
Rfam family: Bacterial small subunit ribosomal RNA
Source: RNAcentral
UGGGGAAUUUUGGACAAUGGGCGAAAGCCUGAUCCAGCAAUGCCGCGUGUGUGAAGAAGGCCUUCGGGUUGUAAAGCACUUUUGUCCGGAAAGAAAUCCUUGGCUCUAAUACAGUCGGGGGAUGACGGUACCGGAAGAAUAAGCACCGGCUAACUACGUGCCAGCAGCCGCGGUAAUACGUAGGGUGCAAGCGUUAAUCGGAAUUACUGGGCGUAAAGCGUGCGCAGGCGGUUUGCUAAGACCGAUGUGAAAUCCCCGGGCUCAACCUGGGAACUGCAUUGGUGACUGGCAGGCUAGAGUAUGGCAGAGGGGGGUAGAAUUCCGCGUGUAGCAGUGAAAUGCGUAGAGAUGUGGAGGAAUACCGAUGGCGAAGGCAGCCCCCUGGGCCAAUACUGACGCUCAUGCACGAAAGCGUGGGGAGCAAACAGGAUUAGAUACCCUGGUAGUCCACGCCCUAAAACGAUGUCAACUAGUUGUUGGGGAUUCAUUUCCUUAGUAACGUAGCUAACGCGUGAAGUUGACCGCCUGGGGAGUACGGCCGCAAGAUUAAAACUUAAAGGAAUUGACGGGGUCAUAGCUGUUUCCU